ACAGACCAUAGUUUUACAGUCUAUAUCUAACGUUGAUCAUCCGUUUUUUUUAAAAAAAAAUAUAAUUAAUAUUUUUAUUGUUGUUAGAUAAUAAAACAUGAAUAUUACUUUAUAUAUGACUAAUUAUUUUUAAUUUUUUUUAUAAAAUUUGUAAAUAAGAUGGACUGUCAAACGUUUGACAUAAAAACCCAUGACUGUACUUAAA
Oryza rufipogon (brownbeard rice) is the source of this 205-nucleotide microRNA precursor. It matches the Rfam family "MIR812 microRNA precursor family". Lineage: Eukaryota; Viridiplantae; Streptophyta; Magnoliopsida; Poales; Poaceae. The record is from Rfam.